CGGUGGAGCAUGUGGUUUAAUUCGAAGCAACGCGAGAACCUACCAGGCCUUGACAUGCAGAGAACUUUCCAGAGAUGGAUUGGUGCCUUCGGGAACUCUGACACAGGUGCUGCAUGGCUGUCGUCAGCUCGUGUCGUGAGAUGUUGGGUUAAGUCCCGUAACGAGCGCAACCCUUGUCCUUAGUUACCAGCACGUUAUGGUGGGCACUCUAAGGAGACUGCCGGUGACAAACCGGAGGAAGGUGGGGAUGAUGUCAAGUCAUCAUGGCCCUUACGGCCUGGGCUACACACGUGCUACAAUGGUCGGUACAAAGGGUUGCCAAGCCGCGAGGUGGAGCUAAUCCCAUAAAACCGAUCGUAGUCCGGAUCGCAGUCUGCAACUCGACUGCGUGAAGUCGGAAUCGCUAGUAAUCGUGAAUCAGAAUGUCACGGUGAAUACGUUCCCGGGCCUU
RNAcentral lists this ribosomal RNA (451 nucleotides) under uncultured Pseudomonas sp. RNAcentral's name for it is "bacterial SSU rRNA". It matches the Rfam family "Bacterial small subunit ribosomal RNA", at positions 930 to 1382 of the family's 1533-position model. Lineage: Bacteria; Pseudomonadati; Pseudomonadota; Gammaproteobacteria; Pseudomonadales; Pseudomonadaceae. The record is from RNAcentral.